Molecule: ribosomal RNA, 458 nt
Filed under: uncultured bacterium
Lineage: Bacteria
Description: partial 16S ribosomal RNA
Rfam family: Bacterial small subunit ribosomal RNA
Source: RNAcentral
CCUACGGGAGGCAGCAGUGAGGAAUAUUGGUCAAUGGGCGAGAGCCUGAACCAGCCAAGUCGCGUGAGGGAGUACUGCCCUAUGGGUUAUAAACCUCUUUUGUCGGGGAGCAAAAGCCGGACGUGUCCGGCUGUGAGAGUAUCCGCAGAAAAAGCACCGGCUAACUCCGUGCCAGCAGCCGCGGUAAUACGGGGGAUGCGAGCGUUAUCCGGAUUUAUUGGGUUUAAAGGGUGCGCAGGCGGAUUUUUAAGUCAGCGGUAAAAUCGUGGGGCUCAACCCCAUCCAGCCGUUGAAACUGGGGGUCUAGAGUGGGCGAGAGGUAGGCGGAAUGCGUGGUGUAGCGGUGAAAUGCAUAGAUAUCACGCAGAACCCCGAUUGCGAAGGCAGCAUACCGGUGCACAACUGACGCUCAGGCACGAAAGCGUGGGUAUCGAACAGGAUUAGAUACCCUUGUAGUC